GUGGGGAAUCUUAGACAAUGGGCGCAAGCCUGAUCUAGCCAUGCCGCGUGAGCGAUGAAGGCCUUAGGGUUGUAAAGCUCUUUCGCUGGGGAAGAUAAUGACGGUACCAGCAGAAGAAGCCCCGGCUAACUCCGUGCCAGCAGCCGCGGUAAUACGGAGGGGGCUAGCGUUGUUCGGAAUUACUGGGCGUAAAGCGCGCGUAGGCGGACCAGAAAGUUGGAGGUGAAAUCCCAGGGCUCAACCUUGGAACUGCCUUCAAAACUCCUGGUCUGGAGUUCGAGAGAGGUGAGUGGAAUUCCGAGUGUAGAGGUGAAAUUCGUAGAUAUUCGGAGGAACACCAGUGGCGAAGGCGGCUCACUGGCUCGAUACUGACGCUGAGGUGCGAAAGCGUGGGGAGCAAACAGGAUUAGAAACCCUUGUAGUCC
RNAcentral lists this ribosomal RNA (425 nucleotides) under uncultured bacterium. RNAcentral describes it as "partial 16S ribosomal RNA". It matches the Rfam family "Bacterial small subunit ribosomal RNA", at positions 354 to 796 of the family's 1533-position model. The record is from RNAcentral.